GUCCACGCCGUAAACGAUGGAUACUAGCUGUUGGAAGCAAUUUCAGUGGCUAAGCGAAAGUGAUAAGUAUCCCACCUGGGGAGUACGAACGCAAGUUUGAAACUCAAAGGAAUUGACGGGGGCCCGCACAAGCGGUGGAGCAUGUGGUUUAAUUCGAUGAUACGCGAGGAACCUUACCAAGGCUUAAAUGUAGUUUGACCGUUUUGGAAACAGAACUUUCGCAAGACAAAUUACAAGGUGCUGCAUGGUUGUCGU
RNAcentral lists this ribosomal RNA (255 nucleotides) under uncultured bacterium. RNAcentral's name for it is "partial 16S ribosomal RNA". It matches the Rfam family "Bacterial small subunit ribosomal RNA", at positions 793 to 1055 of the family's 1533-position model. The record is from RNAcentral.